This 1101-nucleotide long non-coding RNA is filed under the name Naja naja (Indian cobra). RNAcentral describes it as "lncRNA (ENSNNAG00000002789.1)". Lineage: Eukaryota; Metazoa; Chordata; Lepidosauria; Squamata; Elapidae. The record is from RNAcentral.
AGACCCGGUGUGCACACAAUCUCCAAAGCUCUUGUUUUUACUCUUCCCUCUUAUCUCUUUGUAGUAAUGAUGAAACUUCUGGUCCUGAAAGCCAGUCCUCAGGCGCUGAAACAAAGAAGGCUGGAACUCCCAAAGAGGAACAAUCUCUUGUGAAAACAGCCUGGACUGAAAACACGCGUCCCCCAGAGGGCGCCAAAGACGUGCCACCACCUUCCCCUGCUGUCCGCCCGCCACCGCCUCCACCACCUCCACCUCCAAACAGGGGCAACUGGGGGCAGCCCAAUGAUUUCCCGGACCGCUCACUGCGUCCACUUCCUCCUGAAGAUGAGGAUGAAGCUUGGCGCCAGCGCCGAAAGCAAUCUUCGUCAGAGAUUUCUGCUGCGGUGGAGCGGGCCCGACGUCGGAGGGAGGAGGAGGAACGGCGCAUGCAAGAGGAACGGCGAGCCGCCUGCGCCGAGAAGCUCAAGCGACUGGACGAGAAAUUUGGCGCCCCCGACAAGCGCCUGAAGCCGGAACCUGCCAAAGAGCCCCCUGCUCCUCCUCCCCCUCCCGCCCCAGUGCCACCCAAUCCAUUGGCUGCCCCAGGCUCCCCAGAAGAAAAAAAAGAGGAGCUGGUUUUGGCUAACAAACCUCACAACGCGGCUGCCAGUGUCAGUGGCGGCGGUGUCAGCGGCAACAGCAGCAAUGGGAGCAACUUGGACUCAACCGCUCUUGUAGCUGAAUCCCCUCUGCCUCCGCCCCCUCCUCCCAAGGAAGUUCCAGAAGUGAGGGAAGAGCAACCAGCCUUACCUGGACCCAUGCUUCCAGCAGUGCCCAUCUCUGCCAAGGUGGAGCCCAAAGGAGAAAUGGUUCUCCCAGCUCGCCAGCCAAUUCCGGCUCAGACCCUUGGCUAUUCAAAAUAUCAGAAGUCCUUACCACCUCGAUUCCAGCGGCAACAGCAGGUAAAGUAUGAGAUGUCUGAGAAGAAACAGCCAGGAGACCUUGUUAGGUCGAGGUCUGAUUAAGGAUUUGGUACCUGCUGAUGUCCCCACAGCUGCUGAAACAACAUAGCUAGCAGUUGCUUGUGCAAGCAAGAGCUGUGUCAGACCUGUUCCAGCUUAG